AUUUAAAUAUUUGGUUGUCAGUGGCAUC
RNAcentral lists this non-coding RNA (28 nucleotides) under Mus musculus (house mouse). Lineage: Eukaryota; Metazoa; Chordata; Mammalia; Rodentia; Muridae. The record is from RNAcentral.